Heligmosomoides polygyrus is the source of this 109-nucleotide non-coding RNA. Lineage: Eukaryota; Metazoa; Nematoda; Chromadorea; Rhabditida; Heligmosomidae. The record is from Rfam.
GGUUUAUACCCAGUAUCUCAAGGUACUAAGGGCUUCCGGCCUUCCACUCGAUGGAUGCGUCGAAACCACAAUGUUUGGACCGCCUUCCCGGGGAAUCCGGGAGGGCAAC